GACGUAGGGCGCGAGCGUUGUCCGGAUUUAUUGGGCGUAAAGCGCUCGCAGGCGGUCCGAUGCGUCGUGCGUGAAAGACCCCGGCUCAACUGGGGAGGGUCGUGCGAUACGGUCGGACUCGAGGCCAGUAGGGGGACGCGGAAUUCCGGGUGUAGUGGUGGAAUGCGUAGAGAUCCGGAGGAACACCAGCGGCGAAGGCGACUACCUGGCCUGUUUCUUGACGCUGAGGCGCGAAAGCUAGGGGAGCAAACGGG
Molecule: ribosomal RNA, 254 nt
Filed under: uncultured bacterium
Lineage: Bacteria
Description: partial 16S ribosomal RNA
Rfam family: Bacterial small subunit ribosomal RNA
Source: RNAcentral